GUUUUAAUAAUUUAAUAUAAAAUAUUGAUUUUGUAAAUCAAAAAUAAGAUAUAUUCUUUUUAAACA
This 66-nucleotide transfer RNA is filed under the name Agyrtodes labralis. RNAcentral's name for it is "tRNA-Thr". The record is from RNAcentral. Lineage: Eukaryota; Metazoa; Arthropoda; Insecta; Coleoptera; Leiodidae.